RNAcentral lists this ribosomal RNA (468 nucleotides) under uncultured bacterium. RNAcentral's name for it is "partial 16S ribosomal RNA". It matches the Rfam family "Bacterial small subunit ribosomal RNA", at positions 28 to 507 of the family's 1533-position model. The record is from RNAcentral.
GACGAACGCUGGCGGCGUGCUUAACACAUGCAAGUCGAACGGAAAGGCCCUGCUUUUGUGGGGUGCUCGAGUGGCGAACGGGUGAGUAACACGUGAGUAACCUGCCCUUGACUUUGGGAUAACUUCAGGAAACUGGGGCUAAUACCGGAUAGGAGCUCCUGCUGCUUGGUGGGGGUUGGAAAGUUUCGGCGGUUGGGGAUGGACUCGCGGCGUAUCAGCUUGUUGGAGGGGUAGUGGCUUACCAAGGCCUUGACGGGUAGCCGGCCUGAGCGGGUGACAGGCCACAUUGGGACUGAGAUACGGCCCAGACUCCUACGGGAGGCAGCAGUGGGGAAGAUUGCACAAUGGGCGGAAGCAUGAUGCAGCAACGCCGCGUGCGGGAUGACGGCCUUCGGGUUGUAUUCCGCUUUCGCCUGUGACGAAGCGUGAGUGACGGUAAUGGGUAAAGAAGCACCGGCUAACUACGUG